AUUGAACGCUGGCGGCAUGCCUAACACAUGCAAGUCGAGCGGAUGAAGGGAGCUUGCUCCUGGAUUCAGCGGCGGACGGGUGAGUAAUGCCUAGGAAUCUGCCUGGUAUUUGGGGAUAACGUCCGGAAACGGGCGCUAAUACCGCAUACGUCCUGAGGGAGAAAGUGGGGGAUCUUCGGACCUCACGCUAUCAGAUGAGCCUAGGUCGGAUUAGCUAGUUGGUGGGGUAAAGGCUUACCAAGGCGACGAUCCGUAACUGGUCUGAGAGGAUGAUCAGUCACACUGGAACUGAGACACGGUCCAGACUCCUACGGGAGGCAGCAGUGGGGAAUAUUGGACAAUGGGCGAAAGCCUGAUCCAGCCAUGCCGCGUGUGUGAAGAAGGUCUUCGGAUUGUAAAGCACUUUAAGUUGGGAAGAAGGGAAGUAAGUUAAUACCUUGCUGUUUUGACGGUACCAACAGAAUAAGCAACGGCUAACUUCGUG
RNAcentral lists this ribosomal RNA (484 nucleotides) under uncultured bacterium. RNAcentral describes it as "partial 16S ribosomal RNA". It matches the Rfam family "Bacterial small subunit ribosomal RNA", at positions 30 to 507 of the family's 1533-position model. The record is from RNAcentral.